ACGCUGGCGGAAUGCUUUACACAUGCAAGUCGAACGGCAGCAUAGAGAGCUUGCUCUCUGAUGGCGAGUGGCGAACGGGUGAGUAAUAUAUCGGAACGUGCCUAGUAAUGGGGAAUAACUAGCUGAAAGGUUAGCUAAUGCCGCAUACGACCUACGGGUGAAAGCAGGGGAUCUUCGGACCUUGCGUUAUUAGAGCGGCCGAUAUCUGAUUAGCUUGUUGGUGGGGUAAUGGCCUACCAAGGCGACGAUCAGUAGCUGGUCUGAGAGGACGAUCAGCCACACUGGAACUGAGACACGGUCCAGACUCCUACGGGAGGCAGCAGUGGGGAAUUUUGGACAAUGGGGGCAACCCUGAUCCAGCCAUUCCGCGUGAGUGAAGAAGGCCUUCGGGUUGUAAAGCUCUUUCGCAAGAGAAGAAAACUUGCUAUCUAAUAAAUAGUAAGUAUGACGGUAUCUUGACAAGAAGCACCGGCUAACUACGUGCCAGCAGCCGCGGUAAUACGUAGGGUGCAAGCGUUAAUCGGAAUUACUGGGCGUAAAGCGUGCGCAGGCAGUUUUAUAAGUCAGAUGUGAAAUCCCCGAGCUCAACUUGGGAACUGCGUUUGAAACUAUAAGACUAGAGUGUGUCAGAGGGGGGUAGAAUUCCAAGUGUAGCAGUGAAAUGCGUAGAGAUUUGGAGGAAUACCAAUGGCGAAGGCAGCCCCCUGGGAUAACACUGACGCUCAUGCACGAAAGCGUGGGGAGCAAACAGGAUUAGAUACCCUGGUAGUCCACGCCCUAAACGAUGUCUACUAGUUGUUGGUGGAGUAAAAUCCAUGAGUAACGCAGCUAACGCGUGAAGUAGACCGCCUGGGGAGUACGGUCGCAAGAUUAAACUC
Molecule: ribosomal RNA, 878 nt
Filed under: uncultured beta proteobacterium
Lineage: Bacteria; Pseudomonadati; Pseudomonadota; Betaproteobacteria
Description: bacterial SSU rRNA
Rfam family: Bacterial small subunit ribosomal RNA
Source: RNAcentral